Molecule: long non-coding RNA, 1047 nt
Organism: Zingiber officinale
Lineage: Eukaryota; Viridiplantae; Streptophyta; Magnoliopsida; Zingiberales; Zingiberaceae
Exons: 3
Source: RefSeq, a predicted model, not a curated record
UUUGCUAUUUUUAUUUCCUCUCCUCUCAUCGCCGCACACAUCACCGCUCGAGCUCUACUCUUCCCCCAUUUCCUCUUCAUUGCACCUCUGCCCAACGCCGUCGACGCCGCCCGACGCCGCGCCGCCCGAUGGACGGUGUACCACCGCCAGUGACCCUUGUCAUUCCGGUAGAAGCUACGCUGGGAUGCUAGUGUGUGAUCCUCUAUGCCCUAGCUAUCCUCACCGCCCGAUCUCCUUCGCCUUCUCCUUUCUCCUCUCUGGGUCGCCGCCGACUGCCACGGCCGACGUCAACCAUCAACCGCCAGACGCCAGCCACCGUGAGACUUGACAGUAGAACACCGGCACCCUAGGUUUUCAGCUGCCUCGCCUGAUCGCGUUGCUAAUGCUAGGAGAAAACAAAAUCAACAAGGGGAUUAGGGAAAUCCUAUUCUCUUUGCUCGUGGAAUCGGGAAGAGCCAUCACCUCUUCUUCCCGACUACAGUCGCAGACCACAUCUCCCUCUGCCUUUUUGUAUCAUCGCCAACCACCACACCUGAUGUUGUUCUUCUUCGAUUAUCCUCUGGUCAGUACCCUAGUAUUAUUGUCUCCUGUCUCUUGGUCGGCUCAUAAUCACAGCAGUGGAUCUCCGGCAUAAACAAGGGUUGGAUCAGUCCUUGUAGCUCCAUCUCUGGUUCCAGCAGUAGCUCCACUGAUCACCCAUUCCGGCAGCUAGGUCUUCGGCUGUGAGAUAACAGGGGAGCAAUCAUAUGAAGGGUGUUAGAUUUGGAAAUCAACAACUCCAUCUUGCUCUGGCCUCAAUCCUCGGUAGCGAGCACUUCUCCAAUUGUGAAUUGACAGAGAGGUCUCCAAUUUAGGAUGUUGAUUCGAAAUGAGCGUCUCGACGUGCGAUUGGUUUAUCACGAUCUACAGUUAAAGGCGGAUAUUUCUUGCUUUAUCUCUUUAGUACAUUGAUCUUAGUGCAUGAAUUAAAUAUUCAGAUAGUUACUGUAUUUAUCUUGACUCCACUCUUAUUUUUCUUGCAUUUGAUACUUCCACUCAAUCUUUGAG